CUUGGCUCAGCUGGUAGAGCGACGCAUUCGUAAUGCGUAGGUCGGGGGUUCGAAUCCCCCA
This 61-nucleotide transfer RNA is filed under the name uncultured Anaerobutyricum sp. It matches the Rfam family "tRNA", at positions 7 to 64 of the family's 71-position model. Rfam says of the family: Transfer RNA (tRNA) molecules are approximately 80 nucleotides in length. Their secondary structure includes four short double-helical elements and three loops (D, anti-codon, and T loops). The record is from RNAcentral. Lineage: Bacteria; Bacillati; Bacillota; Clostridia; Lachnospirales; Lachnospiraceae.